Molecule: non-coding RNA, 75 nt
Organism: Haemonchus placei
Lineage: Eukaryota; Metazoa; Nematoda; Chromadorea; Rhabditida; Trichostrongylidae
Source: Rfam
GGCCCAAAUUAGAAGUACGGUAGAUUAGCACGACUAGCUGACCAUACUAAUCUAUUCUACUUCGAGUUUGUGCCC